RNAcentral lists this ribosomal RNA (502 nucleotides) under uncultured bacterium. Its description in RNAcentral is "bacterial SSU rRNA". It matches the Rfam family "Bacterial small subunit ribosomal RNA", at positions 53 to 559 of the family's 1533-position model. The record is from RNAcentral.
ACAUGCAAGUCGAGUGCGCGCCUGUAGCAAUACAGGUGGCGCACGGCGCACGGGUGCGUAACACGUGGGUAAUCUGCCCUCUGAUGGGGAAUAACUCGCCGAAAGGCGAGCUAAUUCCGCAUAAUAUUCCGAAAACUUCGGUUUUUGGACUGAAAGGCGUAAGUCGUCGGAGGAGGAGCCCGCGCACGAUUAGCUAGUUGGUAGGGUAAUGGCCUACCAAGGCUUUGAUCGUUAGCUGGUCUGAGAGGAUGGCCAGCCACACUGGAACUGAGACGCGGUCCAGACUCCUACGGGAGGCAGCAGUGGGGAAUCUUGCACAAUGGGCGAAAGCCUGAUGCAGCGACGCCGCGUGGGGGAUGAAGCUUCUCGGAGUGUAAACCCCUUUCGAUCCGGACGAAUGCCCGCAAGGGAUUGACGGUACGGAUAUAAGAAGCCCCGGCUAACUACGUGCCAGCAGCCGCGGUAAUACGUAGGGGGCCAGCGUUGUUCGGAAUUACUGGGU